Arabidopsis thaliana (thale cress) is the source of this 723-nucleotide non-coding RNA. The record is from RefSeq. Lineage: Eukaryota; Viridiplantae; Streptophyta; Magnoliopsida; Brassicales; Brassicaceae.
UUAACAAAAUUGAACACCUAACAUGAGUAAUCUUAAUAAUCAUGGGAGAUUUGCAAAAGUCCCUUUUUCUAAUGACAUUUUGCAACAAUACCCUUUCCUGAUGGCCAUUUUUAAAACUGCCCCUUCUAGUGUGGAAAAUUACUGUCUUGAUCUUAAUGAAUAAUUAGAGUUUCACUUUUAUUUCUCCUGUCGACAAACCUCUUCCUCUUCGACAAACCUCUUCGCCGACGAAUUCAGUUCUCUCCGACAAACCUCUUCGCCGACGAAUUCAGAUCUCUCCAACGCCGAAUUCAUUUCUCUCCGACGCCUAAUUAAUUUCUUUCCGACGCCGAAUUCAUUUCUUUCCGACGACGAAUUCUGAUCUAUCGCCGAAUUUAUUUCUCUCUAACGAGAAACAAUCCCCAGAGAAAUCCGACGAAGAGUUUCCUUCGAUUUGGAGAUCGAUAGAUCCGACAGAGAAAUCGCCAAAUCCGACGAUGGAUUCAGAGAGUGAAAUCCUUACAUUGCCUGAACAGAUCUACAAAGAAGAAGCGUUGAAGAUGUGUGACGAUAGCGGUGUUAAGCUUGUGUAGAAAAAGAAGCCAGUCAAAGAGUCGUAUAUACUACACUACACGAUGAACAAAUAAACGGAGAAGCUUGUUCUUCGACGAUCCUCCUCUGUUCAUAACCUUUCUUUUUUCAUCAAGCUGAAACAUUGACGACAUCUACUUCUUCAGGUUUGUU